RNAcentral lists this ribosomal RNA (496 nucleotides) under uncultured bacterium. RNAcentral describes it as "partial 16S ribosomal RNA". It matches the Rfam family "Bacterial small subunit ribosomal RNA", at positions 29 to 507 of the family's 1533-position model. The record is from RNAcentral.
ACGAACGCUGGCGGCGUGCCUAAUACAUGCCCGUUGAGCGCUGAAGGUUGGUACUUGUCCCCACUGGAUGAGCAGCGAACGGGUGAGUAACGCGUGGGGAAUCUGCCUUUGAGCGGGGGACAACAUUUGGAAACGAAUGCUAAUACCGCAUAAAAACUUUAAACACAAGUUUUAAGUUUGAAAGAUGCAAUUGCAUCACUCAAAGAUGAUCCCGCGUUGUAUUAGCUAGUUGGUGAGGUAAAGGCUCACCAAGGCGAUGAUACAUAGCCGACCUGAGAGGGUGAUCGGCCACAUUGGGACUGAGACACGGCCCAAACUCCUACGGGAGGCAGCAGUAGGGAAUCUUCGGCAAUGGACGAAAGUCUGACCGAGCAACGCCGCGUGAGUGAAGAAGGUUUUCGGAUCGUAAAACUCUGUUGGUAGAGAAGAACGUUGGUGAGAGUGGAAAGCUCAUCAAGUGACGGUAACUACCCAGAAAGGGACGGCUAACUACGUG